This 778-nucleotide ribosomal RNA is filed under the name uncultured Neocallimastigales. Its description in RNAcentral is "partial large subunit ribosomal RNA". It matches the Rfam family "Eukaryotic large subunit ribosomal RNA", at positions 23 to 635 of the family's 3401-position model. Lineage: Eukaryota; Fungi; Neocallimastigomycota; Neocallimastigomycetes; Neocallimastigales. The record is from RNAcentral.
AGACUCUGUGCGCGUGCAUAUCAAUAAGCGGAGGAAAAGAAACUAACAAGGAUUCCCUUAGUAACGGCGAGUGAAGCGGGAAGAGCUCAAAUUUGAAAUCUUCAAGGUUUUACCUUGACGAAUUGUAGUUUAUAGAAGUGUUUUCUGUUAGUAGGAGUGGCAAAAGUUCUUUGGAAUAGGACAUCAUAGAGGGUGAGAAUCCCGUAUUUGGUCAUUCCUCCUAGCGUUGUGAUACACUUUCAACGAGUCGGAUUGUUUGGGAAUGCAGUCCAAAAUGGGUGGUAAAUUUCAUCUAAAGCUAAAUAUUGGCGAGAGACCGAUAUUAGCGAACAAGUACCGUGAGGGAAAGAUGAAAAGAACUUUGAAAAGAGAGUUAAACAGUACGUGAAAUUGUCGAAAGGGGAAGCGUUUGACACCAGUGUUGUUUUUCCGAAAAUCAAUUACGAAUGUUUUGUUUUUGAGGAGUUAUGACUUCAUCGGCUUGCUCCUUUCUUUACGAAACUUUCUUAAUGCACUAUUCGGUUAACAAGUCAACAUCGAUUUCUUUUGUUGUAAAAGGGUAUGAGGAAGGUGGCUUUCUUUUCGGAGAAAGUGUUUAUAGCCUUGUGCCUCUGCAAUCGGAGAGAUUGAGGUCUGCAGCGUAGAUCCUUCGGGGUUAGAUACGUUUGUGCUAAGUUAUAGCUUUUCAUAGACAACUUGUUGACUAUGUUUAGUCUUGUAGCUUACUCGCUUAUGCUACUUUACCUACGCUUAGGAUGUUGACAGCAGUAUAGACUGU